AUUGAACGCUGGCGGCAUGCCUUACACAUGCAAGUCGAACGGCAGCAUGGAGAGCUUGCUCUCUGAUGGCGAGUGGCGAACGGGUGAGUAAAGCAUCGGAACGUACCGUGUAGUGGGGGGUAACGUAGCGAAAGUUACCCUAAUACCGCAUACGCACUGAGGUGGAAAGCAGGGGAUCGUAAGACCUUGCGCUAUACGAGCGGCCGAUGUCAGAUUAGCUAGUUGGUAGGGUAAAGGCCUACCAAGGCGACGAUCUGUAGCGGGUCUGAGAGGAUGAUCCGCCACACUGGGACUGAGACACGGCCCAGACUCCUACGGGAGGCAGCAGUGGGGAAUUUUGGACAAUGGGGGCAACCCUGAUCCAGCCAUGCCGCGUGAGUGAAGAAGGCCUUCGGGUUGUAAAGCUCCUUCGGCCGGGAAGAAAUCGCACAGGCUAAUACCCUGUGUGGAUGACGGUACCGGCAUAAGAAGCACCGGCUAACUACGUGCCAGCAGCCGCCGCCG
This 504-nucleotide ribosomal RNA is filed under the name uncultured bacterium. Its description in RNAcentral is "partial 16S ribosomal RNA". It matches the Rfam family "Bacterial small subunit ribosomal RNA", at positions 30 to 523 of the family's 1533-position model. The record is from RNAcentral.